GGAGAGUAGUGGUGCAUAUAUGCUCUCUCCUAGCUCAGGAUCUUUGCUAGUCUUUUUAAGUCCCCUUGGGGUUAACAGCUCCCUGGGACGGGUGCGGUUUCGUACUCGAGCGCAUUAUUUCUGUCGUAUUUAGGUAUGGGCCCGAGGCCAUAUUGUGUUUCAACCAUCUUAAUAAAGGCCUGGAGCCACUCUAUUUUCCAUAAGAAUAGAUGUGUUGAAUACCUGUUUUCGAACAUUAUGACUUACAAAUCCAACAUGAAAGGACGCUCGAGAUGCCACGCCCUCAAUAUAAUUCUAAAAGCUAUCGAAUUAUGAAGGCGCGCC
This 324-nucleotide long non-coding RNA is filed under the name Daucus carota (carrot). Its description in RNAcentral is "long non-coding RNA (DCAR_LNC007122)". Lineage: Eukaryota; Viridiplantae; Streptophyta; Magnoliopsida; Apiales; Apiaceae. The record is from RNAcentral.